AAAAAAGCGAAGAAUGAUCGAAGUAGUCCUUAUCUUCCCUGUACAAGAGAGCUAAUGGAUGGUGUGAAUUAGCACAUAAGGUUAGGAUGAAUUACAAUCAGGAGCUUUCUUUGUGAUAAGCAAAGAACGGGUACACCGUUAAAUAAAUGAAGUGGGAUAGAAAAUUAUGCAUAUAAAGAGAACUAUGCAUGGUUCUAUUCAACAAGGGUGGUAACGCGAAGACCUCGUCCCUUAU
Molecule: non-coding RNA, 235 nt
Filed under: Halalkalibacter okhensis
Lineage: Bacteria; Bacillati; Bacillota; Bacilli; Caryophanales; Bacillaceae
Description: Bacillus okhensis T-box sequence
Rfam family: T-box leader
About the family: Uncharged tRNA acts as the effector for transcription antitermination of genes in the T-box leader family.
Source: RNAcentral